This 439-nucleotide ribosomal RNA is filed under the name uncultured bacterium. RNAcentral's name for it is "bacterial SSU rRNA". It matches the Rfam family "Bacterial small subunit ribosomal RNA", at positions 338 to 795 of the family's 1533-position model. The record is from RNAcentral.
CCUACGGGCUGCACCAGUGGGGAAUAUUGGACAAUGGGCGAAAGCCUGAUCCAGCAAUGCCGCGUGUGUGAGGAAGGUCUUCGGAUUGUAAAGCACUUUCGACCGGGACGAUGAUGACGGUACCCGUAGAAGAAGCCCCGACUACUUCAUGCCAGCAGCCGCGGUAAUACGAAGGGGGCUAGCGUUGCUCGGAAUGACUGAGCGUAAAGGGCGCGUAGGCGGUUUGUGCAGUCAGAUGUGAAAUCCCCGGGCUUAACCUGGGAACUGCAUUUGAGACGCAUAGACUAGAGGUCGAGAGAGGGUUAUGGAAUUCCCAGUGUAGAGGUGAAAUUCGUAGAUAUUGGGAAGAACACCGGUGGCGAAGGCGGCAACCUGGCUCGAUACUGACGCUGAGGCGCGAAAGCGUGGGGAGCAAACAGGAUUAGAUACCCCCGUAGUC